Molecule: unclassified non-coding RNA, 395 nt
Filed under: soil metagenome
Description: partial contains 5.8S ribosomal RNA, internal transcribed spacer 2, and large subunit ribosomal RNA
Rfam family: 5.8S ribosomal RNA (bases 1-120)
Source: RNAcentral
GAUGAAGAACGUAGCGAAAUGCGAUAAGUAAUGUGAAUUGCAGAAUUCAGUAAAUCAUCGAAUCUUUGAACGCACCUUGCGCCUUUUGGUAUUCCGAAAGGCACACCUGUUUGAGCGUCAUGAAUACCUCAAUCUCCAUCUUUUCUUCGGAUUGAUGGGUGACUUGGAUGUUGAGCCCUGCUGGUAUGCUAUAUCAGCUGGCUUUAAACUUAUUAGCCGGCUCUGUACUGGAUCGGUUUGACUCGACGUGAUAAUAUUAUCGUUGAGGAUGCAUGUCUCAUGCAGCCGGAAAGUAUCAAAGCAGCUUCUAGCUUGCCUUUAGUGCACUUUUACAUUUUAGACCUCAGAUCAGGUGGGACUACCCGCUGAACUUAAGCAUAUCAAUAAGCGGAGGA